Harmonia axyridis is the source of this 313-nucleotide long non-coding RNA. RefSeq lists it as uncharacterized. Lineage: Eukaryota; Metazoa; Arthropoda; Insecta; Coleoptera; Coccinellidae. The transcript is spliced from 2 exons. The record is from RefSeq and is a predicted model, not a curated record.
AAAAAUGGACCAUAUUAGCAAACGAAAUUUUAUUUUUCCAACUCAUAAUUAUGAAUUAAUUCUAUAUAAAUUUAGUUGUUUGGGGUGAUAUUAGGUAAAUCCUGAAUUCCAUUUUGAUUGAUAAUUUGGACCUUGAAGUUGGGCAAGUUAAUGAUUAACCUUUUAUGAACUUCCUGUACACACUUCUUCAUUAGAUCAUAGGCUUCUUCCUUGGUCAUAUUUUCUUUAUAGUUCCUAUCCAAAAUUGCUAUAGAGAAAUAGCCACCAUACCCAUGAGCAGCAUAAUCCAAGGAAGAGCAGGAUGCAAGAUAAU